GAUGAACGCUGGCGGCGUGCCUAACACAUGCAAGUCGAGCGAACCCUUCGGGGUGAGCGGCGGACGGGUGAGUAACGCGUGGGUAACCUGCCCUAUACACACGGAUAACGUACCGAAAGGUACGCUAAUACGGGAUAAAGUUGUUGGAUGGCAUCUUCUAACAAUCAAAGCUCCGGCGGUAUAGGAUGGACCAGCGUCUGAUUAGCUAGUUGGUGAGGUAAUGGCUCACCAAGGCGACGAUCAGCAGCCGACCUGGGAGGGUGAUCGGCCACACUGGAACUGAGACACGGUCCAGACGCCUACGGGAGGCAGCAGUGGGGAAUAUUGCACAAUGGGCGAAAGCCUGAUGCAGCAACGCCGCGUGAGCGAUGAAGGUCUUCGGAUCGUAAAGCUCUGUCCUCAAGGAAGAUAAUGACGGUACUUGAGGAGGAAGCCCCGGCUAACUACGUGCCAGCCGCCGCCGUAA
This 466-nucleotide ribosomal RNA is filed under the name uncultured bacterium. RNAcentral describes it as "partial 16S ribosomal RNA". It matches the Rfam family "Bacterial small subunit ribosomal RNA", at positions 28 to 523 of the family's 1533-position model. The record is from RNAcentral.